UACCAGCACCCAGAGUGGGCGGGACGAUUAUUGGGCCUAAAGCAUCCGUAGCCGGUUCUGCAAGUCCCCCGUUAAAUCCAGCUGCUCAACAGAUGGGCCGCGGAGGAUACUACAGAGCUAGGAGGCAGGAGAGGCAAGCGGUACUCAGUGGGUAGGGGUAAAAUCCGUUGAUCCAUUGAAGACCACCAGUGGCGAAGGCGGCUUGCCAGAAUGCGCUCGACGGUGAGGGAUGAAAGCUGGGGGAGCAAACCGG
Molecule: ribosomal RNA, 253 nt
Filed under: uncultured bacterium
Lineage: Bacteria
Description: partial 16S ribosomal RNA
Rfam family: Archaeal small subunit ribosomal RNA
Source: RNAcentral